UGUAAUGUAUAAAAUGUGACUUAUAAGAGAUCUUGCAUUAUGAAUAUUUGUUUAAAGGUCUUUGUUUAUUAGCAUGAUCUAGUUGUGUCAGUCUUAACAGUCCAGAUUGUCCAUUGCACUUCCUGCAGAUGGAAUUUCAGUCAACACUGUAAGGACGUACUGCACCGGUGGCGAGGCGUCGAGGAAGCACCUCUUUGUGUUCCUGCCCACCACUUUACUGAACACAUGAAGGUGCUCCAGAGUUUCAAGAAGGGUGGCACACACACUUUGCUGCACUACAAGCUUUUGGAGGUCCAGCGGCACACUGCACACUUCUUUCCUAAACGUGUGUGCAGAGUGCAAGACAGAGUGGCAAGGAUGGAGGAUGCAUCAACAUUCACAGCAUCAUUGGUUCAUGCUUUUUUUCUUUUUUUGUGUGUGUGUGUGUGGAAAGAAGUGCACACAGUUUUAACCGAAGGAUUAUAUGUGUGUGUGUGUGUGUGUGUGUGUGUGGGCAGCUUUAUGGGCAAGUGUGCCAGUCAUUCCUUGAAUUCAAUGUUUUUCAUUUAGGGAAAAAUUGUUGUAUAUAAUUAGGUUUAUAGACAUUUUUGAGUGGGAAUGUUUAGACUGAUUAAAUAGUAAGUUUCUCUACUUUGUAGAGCUUUGCUGUUACUGUUCUGUGUAAGGUUUCAAGGGCCGUAUUCUACAAACCAUCAUAGCUAGUGAUGUGAUUGUAGACAAAAUGGUGCAUUUUAGACACAAGUCCCUCAAUGACAGGCUCUCACCUUGUGACUCGUCAUAAGUUCAGUCUGUUGCAGCGCUGCCAACCACUGUCUUAAAACUCUUCUCAGCAUGGUGAGAGCUUGUUUUAUGUACCAUGGCAUGAUCCCCGACAGUUUUGAUAUUAAUUAAUGAUAAAUAUCUGUAAUGAUGGCUAAAUAAUGUCCUUUGAUGGAGUAAUUUAUCAUUAUAGAUAACUGCCAAGAGGGUGCGAUCAGUUUUCCAAAAACUCAAACAAACCUUGCUCUGAGUGGCUUGCAUGUGUCAUGUGUCAUGUGUCAGGCUGUUGGGCAUAAUCUUAUGUUUGUCAUGUUUCCUUUGUUUGGAUACACAGUCUUACUAUGAUGUCAAAAUAAUUAGAAUUGUAGAAAUUAUGUCAAGGAUCUAUUUCUUUGUAUACUUAUAUAAAGUUGACAAGUGAUGAGCCCAAAGACCAGCAGUGGAGUGACGGUCAGGCAUUCAGUGAGACCUGAGGCUGACUGUGUAGAAUACGGCCCCAGAAGGACGGUCUGUGUUUUGUGUAUUUAUGGUGACAAUGUAGCGUUGCAAGGGACAACAUGCUGUUUGAGACCAAAGCCAUUGUGUAAGAAAUCAUUGUACAGAGUUGAUAGUUCCUCCUAGACUUUGCAAUGAAAUUGCUGUCAAAAUACUAUUAUGUUAUUGUAUUCAUUUUUUUAAUGUUAUAUUAGACAAAUGUAUGGAUGACCUGUUCAUACAGAGACUGCUGCCAUGUAUGUGCAGGCCUCAUGGUCCAUCUUGCAACUUUCCUAAUUUUUUUCUCUAAUACUUUGUAAGGUGAAAAUAUUCCCAGACUAAAAAAUAUAAAAUUGUCCCAAGUUAGAAAUUGCAGAAAUUAUUCUAAGUUGAAAUAUAAAAAUUGUUGUAUGUUGCAAGUUGUAAAAUUUCUGUUGAAAAUUGUUAAAAUUUUCCUAGCUGUUCAAAUUCUAGUGUUGCUUUGUAAAAAUAUCCUAGCUGUUCAAAUUCUAGUGUUGCUUUGUAAAAAUGU
This 1765-nucleotide long non-coding RNA is filed under the name Portunus trituberculatus (swimming crab). Its description in RNAcentral is "uncharacterized LOC123518865, transcript variant X1". The record is from RNAcentral. Lineage: Eukaryota; Metazoa; Arthropoda; Malacostraca; Decapoda; Portunidae.